Non-coding RNA from Caulochytrium protostelioides, 72 nucleotides. Lineage: Eukaryota; Fungi; Chytridiomycota; Caulochytriomycetes; Caulochytriales; Caulochytriaceae. The record is from the annotation of a GenBank genome assembly.
GGGGACGUAACUCAGUGGUAGAGUGCCUGCUUUGCAUGCAGGCGGCCGGGAGUUCGAACCUCUCCGUCUCCG